UGACAGUACUCCUACGGGGAGGCAGCAGUGGGGGAAUAUUGCACAAUGGGCGCAAGCCUGAUGCAGCCAUGCCGCGUGUGUGAAGAAGGCCUUCGGGUUGUAAAGCACUUUCAGUCGUGAGGAAGGUAGUGUAGUUAAUAGCUGCAUUAUUUGACGUUAGCGACAGAAGAAGCACCGGCUAACUCCGUGCCAGCAGCCGCGGUAAUACGGAGGGUGCGAGCGUUAAUCGGAAUUACUGGGCGUAAAGCGCAUGCAGGUGGUUUGUUAAGUCAGAUGUGAAAGCCCGGGGCUCAACCUCGGAAUAGCAUUUGAAACUGGCAGGCUAGAGUACUGUAGAGGGGGGUAGGAAUUUCAGGUGUAGCGGUGAAAUGCGUAGAGAUCUGAAGGAAUACCGGUGGCGAAGGCGGCCCCCUGGACAGAUACUGACACUCAGAUGCGAAAGCGUGGGGAGCAAACAGGAUUAGAUACCCUGGUAG
Molecule: ribosomal RNA, 476 nt
Filed under: uncultured bacterium
Lineage: Bacteria
Description: bacterial SSU rRNA
Rfam family: Bacterial small subunit ribosomal RNA
Source: RNAcentral